RNAcentral lists this ribosomal RNA (408 nucleotides) under uncultured bacterium. RNAcentral's name for it is "partial 16S ribosomal RNA". It matches the Rfam family "Bacterial small subunit ribosomal RNA", at positions 28 to 526 of the family's 1533-position model. The record is from RNAcentral.
GACGAACGCUGGCGGCGUGCUUAACACAUGCAAGUCGAACGAAGUGGCGAACGGGUGAGUAACGCGUAAUCAACCUGCCCUUCAGAGGGGGACAACAGUUGGAAACGACUGCUAAUACCGCAUACUGAAGGAGGGGAUUGCGUUGGAUUAGCUAGUUGGGGGGGUAACGGCCCACCAAGGCGAUGAUCAGUAGCCGGUCUGAGAGGAUGAACGGCCACAUUGGGACUGGGACACGGCCCAGACUUCUACGGGAGGCAGGAGUGGGGAAUCUUCCGGAAUGGAAGGAAGUUUGGAGGGGCAACGCCGCGGGAGUGAUGACGGCCUUCGGGUUGGAAAGCUCUGUUAAUCGGGACGCGGUACCGGAAUAGAAAGCCACGGCUAACUACGUGCCAGCAGCCGCGGUAAUUC